RNAcentral lists this transfer-messenger RNA (369 nucleotides) under Bacteroidia bacterium. It matches the Rfam family "transfer-messenger RNA". From Rfam's summary of the family: Bacterial tmRNA, also known as 10Sa RNA or SsrA, is named for its dual tRNA and mRNA-like properties. Its role is to liberate the mRNA from a stalled ribosome. To accomplish this part of the tmRNA is used as a reading frame that ends in a translation stop signal. The record is from RNAcentral. Lineage: Bacteria; Pseudomonadati; Bacteroidota; Bacteroidia.
GGGGGUGACUUGGCUUCGACGGGGAUGAGGACGCUCUUGACUGCAUACCGUGGUCUCCGUGUCCACGCUAAAGAAGCGGAAAAACAUCAAGUGCCAACUACAACUACGCACUGGCUGCUUAAUACUCAUUAGGCAACCCGUUCUCAGGUCGCUCAUCCACCGGCGGCCUGAAGAACGUCGCUCAGGUGGAUUAGCGCUCCUUUUCGUCCCGGGGAGGAGCGUGAAUCCCGGCAACGGGAGCACCGGGGCUGGCGGGUGGUGAAUCCUGUUCGGCGGAGUUUCCGCCCGCGAGACGAAACGCCGGACUUCGUAUGGAGACGUCAGGAGGAUCUUCUCUUCGGACCGGGGUUCGACUCCCCGCACCUCCAC